UACGUAGGGCGCAAGCGUUGUCCGGAAUUAUUGGGCGUAAAGAGCUCGUAGGCGGCCAGAUAAGUCCGGUGUGAAAGUCACAGGCUCAACCUGUGAAUGCCGCUGGAAACUGUCUGGCUUGAGUCCGGAAGGGGCGAGUGGAAUUCCUGGUGUAGCGGUGAAAUGCGCAGAUAUCAGGAGGAACACCAAUGGCGAAGGCAGCUCGCUGGAACGGUACUGACGCUGAGGCGCGAAAGCGUGGGGAGCGAACAGG
RNAcentral lists this ribosomal RNA (253 nucleotides) under uncultured bacterium. RNAcentral describes it as "partial 16S ribosomal RNA". It matches the Rfam family "Bacterial small subunit ribosomal RNA", at positions 524 to 776 of the family's 1533-position model. The record is from RNAcentral.